RNAcentral lists this long non-coding RNA (283 nucleotides) under Homo sapiens (human). The record is from RNAcentral. Lineage: Eukaryota; Metazoa; Chordata; Mammalia; Primates; Hominidae.
GGCAGCUGCCUGGUACAGCACUGCGCCCUACCCAUGGAGCAUCUGAAAAAGUGGCAAUGCAUUCCUAUGCCCCUAGCACACUGGAUCUGUUGGUCACAUGGCCCGAGAAACAGAAUACCUGGAACCACAGCUUGGAUUUGCUGCCCACACUCAACACUGGUGGCUUUCUGAGGCAUCAGGGAACUGGGAGAGAAGUUUAUACUAUGUUGUCUUCAAAAUCUAAAGAAACUGCAGCAUGAUGUCUCUCUUUAAAAAAAAUUUAUAUGAUAGUUUUAUUGUUCAG